Molecule: unclassified non-coding RNA, 996 nt
Filed under: Hevea brasiliensis (rubber tree)
Lineage: Eukaryota; Viridiplantae; Streptophyta; Magnoliopsida; Malpighiales; Euphorbiaceae
Source: RNAcentral
AGAAGCCAGAAAAGAAACACACAAAAUUGAAGAAAUGGCAGCCAUUUCCAUAACCAAAAUCGUCAUGUUUAAUCUCUCAGGAACCGUCCCUAGCCCUCCUUCUCUCUUCCUUGGAUCUACCAGCAAAGUUUCUCGGGUCUGCUUCACUUCUGCUUCCAAAUAUAACGAGGGCCGAAAUGCAGCGGAGGAGAAUAGAGGUAGAGCAUCAGAUUUCACUAAUAUAGCCAAAGAAACUACCAAGGAAGGCGUUGAAAGAGCCAGAGAACGCGCGGAGCAGGCAAAAGAACAGUCUGACGAAAUGAAAGAAAAGGCCAAAGAACGAGUGGGGGAAAUGAAAGAAAAUGCCAAAGUGUAUGCAUAUGAAACCCAGGAAAGUGCCAAAGGCGUGGCUCAAUCUGCGGCGGAGAAGACCAAGGAAGGCGCGUAUAAAGCAGCAGAGACAACAGAGAAAACGAAAGAAAAAGCAAGAGAUUAUGCGCACGACUCCAAGAAGAAGGCGAAAGAAGGGAUAAAGAAAGUGGUGGAGACUGCACGUGAUGUGAAAGAGAAGGCCAAAGAUUAUUCUGGAACAGCAACUGACUAGGCAAGAGAUGGGACAAUUAAGGUGGUCGAAAUGGUGGGGAGUGUAGGAGAGAAGGCGGAGCAGACGGCGAAGAGAGCAUGGGAUGCUGCGAAGGGGACUACACAGAAGAUAAAGGAAACUGUGGUGGGGAAAGAGCACGAGAGUGAUGAUGACAAAAGGGAGAAGACAAUGGAUGAGGAUGUGGUGGAUUUGAGGAGGCCUGAGAGGGGAGGCGAGAGCAAUGAAAAUGCGAAGAAGAGAAGGGAUUAUUGAAGUAUAAGAGAAGUUGGUCACUGGUCCUUAGGUGGAGUUAGUUUCUUAACAAUGAAAAUAAAUCCAAUGGUAAUGGGGUUUUGGUUUAUGUUGUAAGAGAUCCAUAUGUCUUUCCUUAUUUUGUUGCUAACUAGGUCAAUCUAAUAUAAACUUAUUUGUUA